GGAGCAUCGAGUAGGUCCGCUUCGGCGGAUCGAAAGAUCUCGAGAUUCGCCCGCACUUCGGCCCUCUGGUUCACGUCAUUUGUCUUCUGCUCUUUGACAAUUGAGAUGAUGGAUGUGCUGCGCAUGGCCGCAAGGCGUGCGCAGGGUGUGAGGAAUCAACACCGAACAACAAACGAAUUGA
Molecule: unclassified non-coding RNA, 181 nt
Filed under: uncultured Actinomycetes bacterium
Lineage: Bacteria; Bacillati; Actinomycetota; Actinomycetes
Description: uncultured actinobacterium 16S-23S ribosomal RNA intergenic spacer
Source: RNAcentral